Molecule: ribosomal RNA, 468 nt
Filed under: uncultured bacterium
Lineage: Bacteria
Description: partial 16S ribosomal RNA
Rfam family: Bacterial small subunit ribosomal RNA
Source: RNAcentral
GACGAACGCUGGCGGCGUGCUUAACACAUGCAAGUCGAACGGAAAGGCCCUGCUUUUGUGGGGUGCUCGAGUGGCGAACGGGUGAGUAACACGUGAGUAACCUGCCCUUGACUUUGGGAUAACUUCAGGAAACUGGGGCUAAUACCGGAUAGGAGCUCCUGCUGCAUGGUGGGGGUUGGAAAGUUUCGGCGGUUGGGGAUGGACUCGCGGCUUAUCAGCUUGUUGGUGGGGUAGUGGCUUACCAAGGCUUUGACGGCUAGCCGGCCUGAGAGGGUGACCGGCCACAUUGGGACUGAGAUACGGACCAGACUCCUACGGGAGGCAGCAGUGGGGAAUAUUGCACAAUGGGCGGAAGCCUGAUGCAGCAACGCCGCGUGCGGGAUGACGGCCUUCGGGUUGUAAACCGCUUUCGCCUGUGACGAAGCGUGAGUGACGGUAAUGGGUAAAGAAGCACCGGCUAACUACGUG